CACAUUCCGUCGCCGUCCCGCGCGACGUUCAGUUGACGGCGCGAGCAACAACACCACGUCGUCGGGGGUCCGUUCAGCGCACGGAUCUGCGUAACGUGUAAAGCCCGUGGCACAGCUGCCGAGGAGGUAAAGGAGUUUGGAACAAUGGCCACCACACAAGUAAACAGAGCAAGGACCAUCAAGAAACUCGAGAAGCCUCGGCCGCUGAAGCUUCAGCGCCACGCAACCGUCGAUGGACGGAUUACGACUGUGGAGGACAUUGUGUCCUUGAUCGAUACCGUUACGAUGCACCUUACAAAUGGCUAUUUCGAUCGAACCCUGCAAAUGAACGUGAUUACAAUGUGUAAUCACCUUAAGCUGUAUGCUCAUCAGUUGGAAGCCAUUUACAAAGACCAACUGGACAGAGCGUUUGUAGCUAUUAGAAAUGGAAGCCAGGACGAAAGGCUGGAUGUAACGACUAGGGUUUACUUGCUGGAGUUGAUUGAAUUGAGAGCUAAGCAAUGGCAUCAUACGGACUCGAUGGAUGCCUACUAUUGCCAGAAAUUGUCGCAUUUAGAUACUCAAGGAGAUGUGACAACCCCUGAAACACCUUCGAGUCUGUUAACGUCGCCUCUAAUUCCGAUGUCUUCACCCGUCGCUGCUCCCAUUCUAGGACCAGGCGAAGUGAUAAAGAACAGUGGAAAGUUUGCGAAGCCCACACGAAUCGCUGGGAAGAAUUACUGCAAGGAUGAAGUUGUCAUACGUAACAGUGACUCUGGGAAAGUGAUGGGAAUAAAAGGGCGACGGGUUCACAUGAUCGAAGAGCUCAGCGAGACGAUCAUCUCCUUCCAGCGAGUAAAUCCUGGAGCCAAAGAACGACUUGUCCAAAUAACGGGGACCUCCGAGGACAAGAUACAUUAUGCGAAGGAUCUGAUAAAAGAUACGAUACAGCGAAACGCAUCACCGGUGCGACUGGAGCAAGGUGGAGGUGAGAAGGGCGGCAUCGGUGGCUCGAGCUCGUCGCUGAAUAGCAGCGCCUCCGACGAGAGCAAUCGGCUGCAACAGCAACAACAGCAACAGCAGGGCUCACGUUCGCGCUCCUCCCUCCUCCACAGCUUCUCCACCAACGACGCCAGCAUCGGCGAGUACAAAUACACCGUUACGGUCGGCAACCACUCCCUCAAGAUUACAGGGUGUAAUCUAGACCUCGUCAGGACUGCGAAGUUAGUCCUAGACGAGUACUUCUCGGGUGAUCCGGAGAACCUCGCAGCAGGUAUCGAGUACUUCAGCUUCGAGGAGGAGCCCUCCUUCGUUUCGUCGAAUUCAUCGGUGCCGCUGACCCCUUUGACCCCUCUGACCCCUCUGACCCCGUUGACUCCGGCGAUGGCCAGCGCCCUGGGUCGGGAUAUCAACCUGGAAAGCGGGAUCGCCUCGGAGGGCGAGGAAGUCUUCAAAUCUAGGAACAGCUCCGGAUCUCAGUCGGGUCUCAUCGAAGAUGGCCCGGUGAGCAGGGUGCUGACCUACGAGUUUCUGUUACAAUGCUCAACGGGACCUUACGCGAAGCGACCCCCUGCAGACUGGGUUCGCAUACAAAAGGAACACCCGAAUAUCGUACGCAAGGCACCGAUUCGCUGGUUCGAACCGGAGGCAUACAAGGCGAAGGUUGCGGCUGCCGGUUUCGUUACGGUAUUACCCCAUGGAAUGUGUGGCGACACGGAGAACGACCCCGAGUGAUGUUCGCUCUCGUCGCCGAAGCUCCGAAAUUUAACUUCGACUCGGCUGAAUCUGUGAGCUGCGAUUCCGUUUUUCAGGGUCAUUAGACCAGGAAUCGUCCCCGGGACAACGAGACCCUCUUUUCGGCCCUUCGACUUCAUCUGGAACCGUUCCCAUUUUUUUGUUCUUUCUUCUUGUAACUCCCUAUUAAUUAGAUCAACGCGGAAAUACCGUCCAAAGCUCCGGAAUCAAAUUUCGAAGCUCCAGAAAUUAAUCCCAGUUCCCUGGGUUCAGGGACCGCCUUUUCUUUUCUUUUCUUUUCUUUUUUUACUGAAUUCCGGAAUUCCUGAAUUUAAUUGCAAUUACCGUGUACGUUUUCAUUUUCCUCUCUUCUUAUAACUUCCUAUUAAUUCGAUCAACGCGGAAAUACCGUCUAAAGCUCCGGAAUCAAAUUUCGAAGCUCUAGAAACUAAUCCCAGUUCCCUGGAUUCAAAGACCGAAGUUUCUUUUCUUUCUUUUUUUUUUAUCAAAUUCCGGAAUUCCUGAAUUUAAUUGCAAUUGCCUGGAAAUGUUUUCAUUUUUUUUUUUUCUUUGUAAUCUUCAAUUGACUUGAUUAAUGCCGAGUUUAAACUGGAGAUAUCUUCCGAAGCUUCCCCCUUUUUGGCCCUUUGACUUGAUCUGGAGCCGUCCCCAUUUUUUAUUUCUUUCUUAUAAUUCCGUAUUAAUUCGAUCAACGCGAAAAUAUCGUCCAAAGCUCCGGAAUCAAAUUUCGAAGCUCUAGAAAUCAAUCCCAGUCCCUUGGGUUGAGGGAUCGCCUAUUCUUUUUUUUUUUUACUGAAUUCCGGAAUUCCUGAAUUUAAUUGCAAUUGCCUAGAAACGUUUUCAUUUUUUUUUUCUUUGUAAUCUUCAAUUAAUUUGAUUAACGCUGGGUUUAAACUGGAGAUAUCUUUCGAAGCUUCAAAAUGAAAUUUCGGAACUCCAGAAAUGAAUCGCAAUCCCCUUGAAUUCUGGGAUUGUUUUUUAUUUAACACUAAAUCUACCACCGGCGGAUCAAAUUGACCAUUUUAAAUGGUAUUUGUAACGGGGGUAUAAAUCGUCGGUAGGUUUAGUGAUAAACUAUGAAGUGCAAUUUCGGAGUUCCUAAAUUUAAUUACACUCACCUGGAAUCGUUUUCUUCGUUUUCUUUUUGUUUUUUUAAUUCCACCAAUGCGGAAAUUAAGUCGGAGAUAUUUUCCGAAGCUUCAAAAUGAAAUUUCGCAACUCUAGAAAUUAAUCGCAGCCCCCUUUGAAUUCUGGGUCGAUUUCUCAUUGAACUCUAAAACCGAACGUCGGAGUUUCUCAAUUCAAUUACAGUGAACUCGAACUCGAAGACUGCGAGUUCCUUUGAGCGAAUAUCGUGACGAUUUCGAGAAUGGCUCGUGGACGUUUUUUCCUUUACUGAUUUUUCAGACCAUACGAAAAGUCGAAUCGGUUCGGACAAAAGUGUCCUGAGUUUUGGUGAACACUUUUUUACUCGAAAUUUCAUUACUUUACGAUCCGGCCCUUCUCUUGUCUUUGAACUUUACUCGUUCAAAGACGCUACUCUUUGCAAGUAACGUUAAGUGCACGCUCGACGAUGCAAUUGAAUUAGAGCUUCGAAUACUCAUAAGACGAUGGAUGCGGUUAUUGGUAUUCUUAGUGUAAAUCCUUGACUUUCGUUUUCUGAGACAGUCCUGUAAUUGUAAAAGCAAUUACCCUGUACCGGAUAAACGUUCGAACGAUUGAAAUAGGUAUGAUGAUUCGUUGGACUUGUUUCAGAAAAGUACAACCUUCGAAGCAAAGGCAUAAGGAUGUCAGCAAUCGCAUCCAUUAUGCAUAAUGUGAAAUGCCGACGUUUAAUCCUUUCACUCCUUUUGCGAUUGGAUUCAGCUAUUGUGCGUCGGCGUGACUAAAGGGUGUCUUAGCUCAAUUCCAGCUGCCGACUGAAACUAAAUUCUUAGCUGCAGUGGCAGCUGGUUUCGAAGACGCUUCCUCGUUAGCACUGGUUCGACUGUCUUCGACGUCAUCCUGGCACCUUUUACUUUCCGUCGGUUCUUCUUGGGGCUCCCUCUCAGGCUCCACAGACAACGAAGACAUUUUUCCAACUAAGAAAACCAGUAGAAAAUAAUCAGUCAAAAACUCACGUUUAGACGUCAGUGAUGAUUGGUGCACUAAGCCAUGUAACAUAAUACAAUAGAAAAAUGAUAGAGUUAACCACUAAUAAACGA
This 3938-nucleotide unclassified non-coding RNA is filed under the name Orussus abietinus. Its description in RNAcentral is "eukaryotic translation initiation factor 4E-binding protein Mextli, transcript variant X5". Lineage: Eukaryota; Metazoa; Arthropoda; Insecta; Hymenoptera; Orussidae. The record is from RNAcentral.